UGUCCAUAUCAGGAGGUUCAGGCUGUCAAGUCAGGAUUGUUCUUUUGUGUAGUAGACAAACAUUAUGAGCAUAACCAUUUUAAUGUGAAGACUGAGCUUGUCUUUUUGAUACCAGUGCGUCUAUAUCGGGUUUGAUAGAUGUAGUGGCGAUGCGAAGAGUAUUUUCAAGAUGCUCAUCUGAAAUUUUUGUUCUGAUUUUAUUUUUUGUAUGCUUCAUACGAGAAAAAAACUGCUCGCAAAUGUAUGUACUCCCCAACAGAGAUGUCAUGAACAGGGCAUGUUCGUGAAGUGAUGGAUAUUUUUCUUUGGUUGCAGGUUUGCAGGCAACAUGUCGAUGUCAACUGAGAAUGGAGUAGCAAAUAUACUGAACUGUUGUUGGUGUUUUCUAAAAUCUUGAAAUCUGCUCUCAAACUCCUGUGCUAAACUAUUAAGUAAUGCCGCAUAUUUUUCAGUAUUUGCAUGUCUUUGCUCAGACAGUGUUGCAAAGUGAAUGAAGCUAUUGUUCUUAAUCUGACUGUGUCACAAUUUCAGUUUCAUUUCAAAUGCCGUCACUGUUUGAAACAUGUCAUUUAUUAAUAGAUUUUCCCCUUGGAGGCGCAAGUUCAGGUCGUUUAAAUGAGCAGUGAUGUCUACUAAGAAGGCUAAAUCAGCCAUCCAGCUUGCACUUUCAAAUUCAGG
Long non-coding RNA from Protopterus annectens (West African lungfish), 678 nucleotides. RefSeq lists it as uncharacterized. The transcript is spliced from 2 exons. NCBI's taxonomy places the organism in Eukaryota, Metazoa, Chordata, Ceratodontiformes, Protopteridae. The record is from RefSeq and is a predicted model, not a curated record.